UACCAGCUCUCCGAGUGGUGUGGAUGUUUAUUGGGCCUAAAGCAUCCGUAGCUGGCUGGACAAGUCCCCUGUUAAAUCCACCGAUUUAAUCGUUGGUGUGCGGGGGAUACUGUUCGGCUAGGGGACGGGAGAGGCAGACGGUAUUUUCGGGGUAGGGGUGAAAUCCUAUAAUCCCGGGAAGACCACCAGUGGCGAAGGCUGUCUGCUAGAACGCGCCCGACGGUGAGGGAUGAAAGCUGGGGGAGCGAACCGGAUUAGAUACCCGGGUAGUCCCAGCUGUAAACGAUGCAGGCUAGGUGUUUGGACGGCCACGUGCCGUUCUAGUGCCGCAGGGAAGCCGUUAAGCCUGCCGCCUGGGGAGUACGGCCGCAAGGCUGAAACUUAAAGGAAUUGGCGGGGGGGCACCACAAGGGGUGAAGCUUGCGAUUU
RNAcentral lists this ribosomal RNA (429 nucleotides) under uncultured archaeon. RNAcentral describes it as "bacterial SSU rRNA". It matches the Rfam family "Archaeal small subunit ribosomal RNA", at positions 474 to 903 of the family's 1478-position model. The record is from RNAcentral.